This 497-nucleotide ribosomal RNA is filed under the name uncultured bacterium. RNAcentral describes it as "partial 16S ribosomal RNA". It matches the Rfam family "Bacterial small subunit ribosomal RNA", at positions 28 to 507 of the family's 1533-position model. The record is from RNAcentral.
GAUGAACGCUGGCGGCGUGCCUAAUACAUGCAAGUCGAGCGAACAGACGAGGAGCUUGCUCCUCUGACGUUAGCGGCGGACGGGUGAGUAACACGUGGAUAACCUACCUAUAAGACUGGGAUAACUUCGGGAAACAGGAGCUAAUACCGGAUAAUAUAUUGAACCGCAUGGUUCAAUAGUGAAAGACGGUUUUGCUGUCACUUAUAGAUGGAUCCGCGCCGCAUUAACUAGUUGGUAAGGUAACGGCUUACCAAGGCGACGAUGCGUAGCCGACCUGAGAGGGUGAUCGGCCACACUGGAACUGAGACACGGUCCAGACUCCUACGGGAGGCAGCAGUAGGGAAUCUUCCGCAAUGGGCGAAAGCCUGACGGAGCAACGCCGCGUGAGUGAUGAAGGUCUUCGGAUCGUAAAACUCUGUUAUUAGGGAAGAACAAAUGUGUAAGUAACUAUGCACGUCUUGACGGUACCUAAUCAGAAAGCCACGGCUAACUACGUG